Molecule: ribosomal RNA, 2131 nt
Filed under: Escherichia coli
Lineage: Bacteria; Pseudomonadati; Pseudomonadota; Gammaproteobacteria; Enterobacterales; Enterobacteriaceae
Description: partial 23S ribosomal RNA
Rfam family: Bacterial large subunit ribosomal RNA
Source: RNAcentral
GGUUAAGCGACUAAGCGUACACGGUGGAUGCCCUGGCAGUCAGAGGCGAUGAAGGACGUGCUAAUCUGCGAUAAGCGUCGGUAAGGUGAUAUGAACCGUUAUAACCGGCGAUUUCCGAAUGGGGAAACCCAGUGUGAUUCGUCACACUAUCAUUAACUGAAUCCAUAGGUUAAUGAGGCGAACCGGGGGAACUGAAACAUCUAAGUACCCCGAGGAAAAGAAAUCAACCGAGAUUCCCCCAGUAGCGGCGAGCGAACGGGGAGCAGCCCAGAGCCUGAAUCAGUGUGUGUGUUAGUGGAAGCGUCUGGAAAGGCGUGCGAUACAGGGUGACAGCCCCGUACACAAAAAUGCACAUGCUGUGAGCUCGAUGAGUAGGGCGGGACACGUGGUAUCCUGUCUGAAUAUGGGGGGACCAUCCUCCAAGGCUAAAUACUCCUGACUGACCGAUAGUGAACCAGUACCGUGAGGGAAAGGCGAAAAGAACCCCGGCGAGGGGAGUGAAAAAGAACCUGAAACCGUGUACGUACAAGCAGUGGGAGCACGCUUAGGCGUGUGACUGCGUACCUUUUGUAUAAUGGGUCAGCGACUUAUAUUCUGUAGCAAGGUUAACCGAAUAGGGGAGCCGAAGGGAAACCGAGUCUUAACUGGGCGUUAAGUUGCAGGGUAUAGACCCGAAACCCGGUGAUCUAGCCAUGGGCAGGUUGAAGGUUGGGUAACACUAACUGGAGGACCGAACCGACUAAUGUUGAAAAAUUAGCGGAUGACUUGUGGCUGGGGGUGAAAGGCCAAUCAAACCGGGAGAUAGCUGGUUCUCCCCGAAAGCUAUUUAGGUAGCGCCUCGUGAAUUCAUCUCCGGGGGUAGAGCACUGUUUCGGCAAGGGGGUCAUCCCGACUUACCAACCCGAUGCAAACUGCGAAUACCGGAGAAUGUUAUCACGGGAGACACACGGCGGGUGCUAACGUCCGUCGUGAAGAGGGAAACAACCCAGACCGCCAGCUAAGGUCCCAAAGUCAUGGUUAAGUGGGAAACGAUGUGGGAAGGCCCAGACAGCCAGGAUGUUGGCUUAGAAGCAGCCAUCAUUUAAAGAAAGCGUAAUAGCUCACUGGUCGAGUCGGCCUGCGCGGAAGAUGUAACGGGGCUAAACCAUGCACCGAAGCUGCGGCAGCGACGCUGAUGCGUUGUUGGGUAGGGGAGCGUUCUGUAAGCCUGUGAAGGUGUACUGUGAGGUAUGCUGGAGGUAUCAGAAGUGCGAAUGCUGACAUAAGUAACGAUAAAGCGGGUGAAAAGCCCGCUCGCCGGAAGACCAAGGGUUCCUGUCCAACGUUAAUCGGGGCAGGGUGAGUCGACCCCUAAGGCGAGGCCGAAAGGCGUAGUCGAUGGGAAACAGGUUAAUAUUCCUGUACUUGGUGUUACUGCGAAGGGGGGACGGAGAAGGCUAUGUUGGCCGGGCGACGGUUGUCCCGGUUUAAGCGUGUAGGCUGGUUUUCCAGGCAAAUCCGGAAAAUCAAGGCUGAGGCGUGAUGACGAGGCACUACGGUGCUGAAGCAACAAAUGCCCUGCUUCCAGGAAAAGCCUCUAAGCAUCAGGUAACAUCAAAUCGUACCCCAAACCGACACAGGUGGUCAGGUAGAGAAUACCAAGGCGCUUGAGAGAACUCGGGUGAAGGAACUAGGCAAAAUGGUGCCGUAACUUCGGGAGAAGGCACGCUGAUAUGUAGGUGAAGUCCCUCGCGGAUGGAGCUGAAAUCAGUCGAAGAUACCAGCUGGCUGCAACUGUUUAUUAAAAACACAGCACUGUGCAAACACGAAAGUGGACGUAUACGGUGUGACGCCUGCCCGGUGCCGGAAGGUUAAUUGAUGGGGUCAGCGCAAGCGAAGCUCUUGAUCGAAGCCCCGGUAAACGGCGGCCGUAACUAUAACGGUCCUAAGGUAGCGAAAUUCCUUGUCGGGUAAGUUCCGACCUGCACGAAUGGCGUAAUGAUGGCCAGGCUGUCUCCACCCGAGACUCAGUGAAAUUGAACUCGCUGUGAAGAUGCAGUGUACCCGCGGCAAGACGGAAAGACCCCGUGAACCUUUACUAUAGCUUGACACUGAACAUUGAGCCUUGAUGUGUAGGAUAGGUGGGAGGCUU